CCUCUCUAGUCUUUCACUCUCACCCAGUCUCUCCCUCAAUAGCUCCGAUUAGGGUUCAAACAUUAGAUCUCCCUCACUAGCUUCAUAUAUUGUCUCCUAAUGGUAAUUGAAUACACAAGCACACACAAUUUCUCCAAUUAGGGUUACUAACUUUCGAAUUUUCUCAAUUUGCAGGCUAGUUAGGGUUUCAUAAAUUGGGGCUUUUGUUUAUAAGGUAAAUACACACUUUAAUGGGGGCUUUUGACUCUUUUAGUUUCUAUAAACUGUUAUAUCUAAGAUAUUUUACUUUUUAUUUCAGGCGAUUUAAAGUUGUUGAGUUUUAAAGCGGUUUUAAGGUAAUUUCUCUGUAAUUUUAUGGGUAUAUGUUUGAUUUUAUGUGAGAUUUAUUUUUGUGUGUUAUUUAGUUAUUUGGAUGUAUUUUCAUGUAUGCUGUAUAUUAAUCUGAUUUUUUUUUGUGUUAUUUAGUUUUUUGAAUGACUCUUGCUGUUUAUGUAUUUGAGUUUUUGUGUUUUGUUUUUAAAUUUUUGAGGAGCUUAGAAUCUGAUUUUAAAUUUUUUUGUUAAAUGUUGAGGAGAUUUUCUACAGGUCUGGUGGGGUACAGAUACAGGGAAGUAGAAAAGAGAUUAUAUAAAGUUCCAUGAUGUUGAGUUUUAUAAAGUGAUUUUAUGGGUCUGGUGGGGUAGAGAUACAGGGUAUUAAUACGAGUUUCCUCUUGUUUUUAGCUUUGUACUUUCAUGUUUUAUAAACUUGGAUUCCAGAUUGUCUUGUGCUUGAUUAGUAACUAUCUUUGAGGUGAUUUAAAGCUAUUGAGGAUUUAAGUUGUUGAGGUUUGAAGUGAUUAAAGUCGAGUAAAGUUUAAAGCUGUUGAAAAUUGAAUUGAAGGUACUUUUUCGAAUUUUAUGUGUAUUUGUUUGAUUUUAUGCAUAGGUUUAAAAUUCUGGUGAUGUAUAUGCUUGCAUGAUUGAUUUUAUGUGUUGUUGAUUUCUUUUUGAUAUAUUUUUAUAUAUGUACAUGCAACAUCUACAUGUGAUGGUGAUAUCUUCUCUGGCUUGUAAAUUUCCCCUUAUAAAUUAGACUUUGUUGUUGACAUGGAGGUGUGGCUUGUUUUGCUUAAUAUAAUUGUAAUUCAGAGUAUAUAUUAUGUGUUGUUGAUUUUUUUUGUGAAUCUAUUUUUCAAGUAUGUAUUACUUUCAGCUUCGUGGCAUGAUAAUCUGUCAUUUUGUAUGCUAAUAACUUUGGUUGUUUUGUUAAUUGAGCUCGUGAAGUGUGAUACAUUGUUAAUUGGCGUUUUUCUCCGUUUGAUAGACCGGUAGACUUUAGACUAUUCUGGUGAUGUAUAGCAUGUUUCUAGCUACUUAUUAUCCCUCUAGUUCUAUUAGUAUAAAUUAAAACCUCUUAUACUAUUUUCUUAAAAACAGUACCUUACUUUUGUACAAGUUCAGAUAAAAACAUAAAAUUCAAGGCGUGAAAUAGCAAUUGUAACUAAGUACGAAUGUCAAUUAGUGUAAGUGUUUUUAAAUAAUAUAUAAGUAUGGUAUUAAUUUCAGCUUUAUAGGUGCAUUGUUCGAAUCUCUGAGGACCUAGGUUCACGAUGGAACAUGUUAAUGAUUAUAACUGGAUAGGACUUCCAAGAUACAGUAGCGAAUAUAAAGAAGCGAUAAAAGCAUUUGUGGAAAAGGCAUUUCCUCUUUUUGCCGUAGGUAAUGAAAUGAAAUGCCCCUGCAGAGAUUGUGAUGAUCGUAAGUGGAGUCAUCAAGAUGUAAUUUAUGGUCAUCUCAUCUGCAGAGGACCUUCCCUGUCACAAGUGCAAUUGAUUUGUAAGGUUUCAGAAGUCAAAGUAGGAAAUAGUAUUGAAUCUAAGGACUGUGAAGCGGGGGCUGGUUUCGGGGAUAACUUACACUACCGAUCAUGGUGAGCAACAAAGAAUUGAUCAGAGAGUUGCAUUAUCAAGAACUCAAAGAUCGAGUAGGGCAAAUCGAGUCUUCCUUACCAAGAACACGUCGUUCUUGGAAGCAACCUCUUGAAGAAGGAAGUUUGUUAAGCUGUCAUGACGGGAGAGGACACGUAAUUACUCCGCAAUACUUGUUUGCAUCAGACGGUCAGAUUACGGUUGGAGAAGAUGAUAGGCGAUUGAAAAAUACCAGGGACAACAGAGGGCCUCCUCAUCAAGAAGAUAGGCCACCAUUGAUACUCACUGCAAGAUCCACAAGAAUGAUGGACUCCUUGGCGGAUCGACUCGAGGGCAGAGUUAGCAAGGCAGAUCUACUCACCAUAAUCAGAGAACUAGAUGAUAGGCCCGAGGAGGUUAGAACUACAUCAAGAACCGCGCCCACAUGGCGAGGCGACUAUCAGAUAGGGCCACCACAUGGUCAAGAUCCAAGAAGCUAUGAAAAAUCGACGGGCCGAGAUUCUCAGGGCUUCGGUGGCAGGACUGAUCGGGACCCAGAACACAACUCGACAACAGGUUCCACUUUCUUCCCGUCUUAUAUGUUAAUGUGGUUAAAAUUUCAUACUCUGUUUCGGUCACCUAUGUUAAUGUUGGUUAUUGUUAUGAUGAAUUAUUUUAAUAGAUAUUUUUCGAUGGAUACUUAAAACCUGUUCAAAACAAAGUGAUUAUGACAUAUUGCCUAUAAUAUUUUUUUACUGGAGUUUGAUUUGAUUUAAGCAAUGUCAUUAUUUUAAGAAAAUAAAUAUAACCCCAGUUUUUAAUCAUUUCUCAUCAACUCUACAAAGAAAAUAUGGGGAAGACAAAUGGAUAUUUGUUCCUAAAAGUGUAAGUAUAUAUACAUACAUAAAGUUUGUAUUUUUUUUACCUUUUUGACCUUUAUAGAUCAUUAUAUAUUUUGUAUUGUUGUGUGCAUAUACAUGCGUGUUAUUCAACUAUUUGAUGAAUACUAUAGGUUUGAAGGGACCCGAAAAGAGUUGUAGGCUUAUGUGGGUUAACCACCUUGUAUCUAGAUGCAAUACCUGUGUAUCCAUAUAUUUCAAAUCUUGUGUGAUUGUGAUUACACAAAAACCUUUGGAAGACUCUUUGCUAGUAUUAGUUGAACAACAUGGGAGUCGGGGGAUAAGGACCCUGUCUAAAACCGGUUGUAUAUAUUAAUAAACGGCUGAAGAGAUUAAUCUUUUUGAUUCAUCUCAAGGUGAGAUGCUUUAAGGCAUAUUUUGUUUUUUUUGAGGUCAUAGGGUGGUAGUCUCUCUUGGUGCAAACUUUACUCCUCAUAUAUUGACGUGCAUCGUGUAGUAUCACUUGCAUUCUUAAUUACGACCAUUAUAUCUAGUAUUUCACCUUUAAAUAUUCAAUCUAUGCUUGAUUUCAGAAUGUCUCACUAAAUUUAAUGUCAAUCUCGAAAAGAGAGGCUAGGAUGGUAUGUGUACUUUCUAGAAGUGGUAUGGUGUCUUUUGUAACGUCAUAAGUUCCAUUGCAUGUUAAUUAUAAUGAGAUUCAUGAAGUGCCACAUCUUAAAUUUAUAAUUAUUUUUUGUAUAAAGUACAACUACAAUAGAAUAUAGACCAUAUAUUUUUAAGGAGAUAAGAUGAACUUUAGAUGAAAAUCUGGUAAGGAAAAAUUGUUUUGAUGAAUUUACAUUUGUAAUAUUAUGAUAGUAGCCGCGGCAUUUUGAGAUACUUUAUUAGUCGACAUUCUUUAUUCCUAAGGAAAAUGGUGGAACAAGCAUAGGUGGUGGUAUGAGUGUCUGGUUGGCAGGUCUAGCUGGACGUUUCAUAGGUGUAACUAUAGGUCAUCUAUGGUUUAUGUCCAUAAAAAAACCCUGUUUUUUGAAACCUACAAUUUAAAGAAAUCUUAUUAGUCCAAUUUUUACCGAUGGACUUGAAUUAGAUUUUUUAAAAGGUUAGGUUUCAAAAAUUUGGUGUUAUUUUAUUUAGAGAUUUUAAAUAAUAAACGAUCAAUAAUUCACAGAUGAAUUGAUUAAGUUUUUAUAAAAUAUUGAGAAACUCCUUUUGCAAAAGUUGUAUUCAAAGUGACACCCAUGACACGUCCAUCUCAAUCUGCCAACGAGACACUCACGCCACCAACUAUGCUUUUUGUUCCACAAUAUUCAUUAGGAAUUAAGAAUCCAGAUAAAGAAUGUAUCUCAAAACGCUCGUAUAUCCCUAUACUAACAGCUUUGAUAACUCAAAUAAAUAACAAAAUAUGAAUAAUGUCACAAUUCUCGGAAAUAUCAUUAUACAGACGAAUUUCUCGAACAUAUUACUAUAACUAACAACUAGUACUGUCGUGGAUAGUAACUCUUAUGUUGAUAUUAUUCAGGAUGGAAAAGGUUGUAUCCUUUUCGAUGGACGAAAAUACAAUGAAAAGGAAGAAGAAGAUGGUGGCGGAACUGUCAGAAAAGAUAUCGCUUUCGAUUGAUGAAAAUACAAUGAAAGGGAGGAAGAAGACGGUGGCGGAACUGCGAGAAGAGAUAAUCUGCGAUAAAAUAUUGAUGCGUCUUCCG
This 4454-nucleotide long non-coding RNA is filed under the name Daucus carota (carrot). RNAcentral's name for it is "long non-coding RNA (DCAR_LNC005445)". Lineage: Eukaryota; Viridiplantae; Streptophyta; Magnoliopsida; Apiales; Apiaceae. The record is from RNAcentral.